This 540-nucleotide ribosomal RNA is filed under the name uncultured bacterium. RNAcentral's name for it is "bacterial SSU rRNA". It matches the Rfam family "Bacterial small subunit ribosomal RNA", at positions 772 to 1314 of the family's 1533-position model. The record is from RNAcentral.
ACGCAAUAGAUACCCAGGUAGUCCACGCCCUAAACGAUGUCUACUAGUUGUCGGGUCUUAAUUGACUUGGUAAACGCAGCUAAACGCGUGAAGUAGACCGCCUGGGGAGUACGGUCGCAAGAUUAAAACUCAAAGGAAUUGACGGGGACCCGCACAAGCGGUGGAUGAUGUGGAUUAAAUUCGAUGCAACGCGAAAAACCUUACCUACCCUUGACAUGGAUGGAAUCCCUGAGAGAUUGGGGAGUGCUCGAAAGAGAACCAUUACACAGGUGCUGCAUGGCUGUCGUCAGCUCGUGUCGUGAGAUGUUGGGUUAAGUCCCGCAACGAGCGCAACCCUUGUCAUUAGUUGCUACGAAAGGGCACUCUAAUGAGACUGCCGGUGACAAACCGGAGGAAGGUGGGGAUGACGUCAAGUCCUCAUGGCCCUUAUGGGUAGGGCUUCACACGUCAUACAAUGGUACAUACAGAGGGUCCGCAACCCGGCGAGGGGUAGCUAAUCCCAGAAAGUGUAUCGUAGUCCGGAUUGUAGUCUGCAACUCG